Molecule: non-coding RNA, 74 nt
Organism: Clostridium sp. CAG:306
Lineage: Bacteria; Bacillati; Bacillota; Clostridia; Eubacteriales; Clostridiaceae
Source: Rfam
GUGUCAGUAGCUCAGCAGGAUAGAGCAGCAGUCUCCGAAGCUGCAGGCCGGGGGUUCGAAUCCCCCCUGGCACG